This 797-nucleotide ribosomal RNA is filed under the name uncultured bacterium. RNAcentral describes it as "bacterial SSU rRNA". It matches the Rfam family "Bacterial small subunit ribosomal RNA", at positions 8 to 794 of the family's 1533-position model. The record is from RNAcentral.
AGAGUUUGAUCCUGGCUCAGAUUGAACGCUGGCGGCAGGCCUAACACAUGCAAGUCGAGCGGUAGCACAAGAGAGCUUGCUCUCUGGGUGACGAGCGGCGGACGGGUGAGUAAUGUCUGGGAAACUGCCUGAUGGAGGGGGAUAACUACUGGAAACGGUAGCUAAUACCGCAUAACGUCUUCGGACCAAAGUGGGGGACCUUCGGGCCUCACGCCAUCAGAUGUGCCCAGAUGGGAUUAGCUAGUAGGUGGGGUAAUGGCUCACCUAGGCGACGAUCCCUAGCUGGUCUGAGAGGAUGACCAGCCACACUGGAACUGAGACACGGUCCAGACUCCUACGGGAGGCAGCAGUGGGGAAUAUUGCACAAUGGGCGCAAGCCUGAUGCAGCCAUGCCGCGUGUGUGAAGAAGGCCUUCGGGUUGUAAAGCACUUUCAGCGAGGAGGAAGGGUAGUGUGUUAAUAGCACAUUGCAUUGACGUUACUCGCAGAAGAAGCACCGGCUAACUCCGUGCCAGCAGCCGCGGUAAUACGGAGGGUGCAAGCGUUAAUCGGAAUUACUGGGCGUAAAGCGCACGCAGGCGGUUUGUUAAGUCAGAUGUGAAAUCCCCGCGCUUAACGUGGGAACUGCAUUUGAAACUGGCAAGCUAGAGUCUUGUAGAGGGGGGUAGAAUUCCAGGUGUAGCGGUGAAAUGCGUAGAGAUCUGGAGGAAUACCGGUGGCGAAGGCGGCCCCCUGGACAAAGACUGACGCUCAGGUGCGAAAGCGUGGGGAGCAAACAGGAUUAGAUACCCCGGUAGU